ACUCCUACGGGAGGCAGCAGUGGGGAAUAUUGGACAAUGGGCGAAAGCCUGAUCCAGCCAUGCCGCGUGUGUGAAGAAGGUCUUCGGAUUGUAAAGCACUUUAAGUUGGGAGGAAGGGCAGUAAGUUAAUACCUUGCUGUUUUGACGUUACCAACAGAAUAAGCACCGGCUAACUUCGUGCCAGCAGCCGCGGUAAUACGAAGGGGUGCAAGCGUUAAUCGGAAUUACUGGGGCGUAAAGCGCGCGUAGGUGGUUCAGCAAGUUGGAUGUGAAAUCCCCGGGGCUCAACCUGGGAACUGCAUCCAAAACUACUGAGCUAGAGUACGGUAGAGGGUGGUGGAAUUUCCUGUGUAGCGGUGAAAUGCGUAGAUAUAGGAAGGAACACCAGUGGCGAAGGCGACCACCUGGACUGAUACUGACACUGUGGUGCGAAAGCGUGGGGAGCAAACAGGAUUAGAUACCCGUGGUAGGAUAGCG
This 477-nucleotide ribosomal RNA is filed under the name uncultured bacterium. Its description in RNAcentral is "bacterial SSU rRNA". It matches the Rfam family "Bacterial small subunit ribosomal RNA", at positions 335 to 799 of the family's 1533-position model. The record is from RNAcentral.